This 447-nucleotide ribosomal RNA is filed under the name uncultured bacterium. Its description in RNAcentral is "partial 16S ribosomal RNA". It matches the Rfam family "Bacterial small subunit ribosomal RNA", at positions 29 to 523 of the family's 1533-position model. The record is from RNAcentral.
AGCGAACGCUGGCGGCAGGCUUAACACAUGCAAGUCGAACGCCACGCAAGGGGAGUGGCAGACGGGUGAGUAACACGUGGGAACGUACCCUUUGGUUAGGAAUAACUUGGGGAAACUCAAGCUAAUACCGGAUAAGCCCUUAUGGGGAAAGGUUUACUGCCGUAGGAUCGGCCCGCGUCUGAUUAGCUAGUUGGUGAGGUAAUGGCUCACCAAGGCGACGGUCAGUAGCUGGUCUGAGAGGAUGAUCAGCCACACUGGGACUUAGACACGGCCCAUACUCCUACUGGAGGCAGCGGUGGGGAAUAUUUGACAAUGGGGGCAACCCUGAUCCAGCCAUGCCGCGUGAGUGAUUAAGGCCUUAGGGUUGUAAAGCUCUUUUACCCGGGACGAUAAUGACUGUACCGGGAGAAUAAGCCCCGGCUAACUUCGUGCCAGCCGCCGCCGUAA